GCAAACCGUGAGAGAGAAGGGAGAAAGAAGAAGAGAAAAGAGGAAAAUUAGAAGGGAAAUAGAAAGGAGUUGAAGAGAAUAAGUUUAAAGAUAAUCCUGAUAUUCUACCGGCGGGACGUCAGUAGAAUUUCCUUCGAUAUCAGCUUUGAGUCUUGUUGCUUUCGAGUCAGGCUUAUAGCUUGAUAGCAGGUUGCUUUUGUUGAACCUUCCGAACCUACUUUUUGGUUGUAAUUUGUACAUUCCUUUUAUGUCAAGUUAGUGCUCCAAAACUAUGAAUUAUAUUAACUCUUGUAUUAAGACAAUUCAAUUAUAUUAUGAAGUUGAUUUUGUUAUUAAUGCUACGUUGAACUCUGAUUAAGUUAGGAUAAGUUUGUGUGUAAGUUUGGGUUCGCAUAGGUAUGGAACCUUGGAGGGGAACCUUGCCUAUG
Molecule: long non-coding RNA, 428 nt
Organism: Populus nigra (black poplar)
Lineage: Eukaryota; Viridiplantae; Streptophyta; Magnoliopsida; Malpighiales; Salicaceae
Exons: 3
Source: RefSeq, a predicted model, not a curated record